GGUGCCCGGGGCAGCCGUGGCCGGGAGCCGGGCAGGGACAGUGUCCCAAGCUCCCGAGGGCAGCAGGCCGCAGGCCCGGGGACUGCCUGCCCGCCCGCGGGGUGAGAGGUGUCCCCUCUCACACCUUCCCCUCCCCAGCAGCCUCCCCCCGAUGGGUUUGUCUGCCAGCUCUCUUUGCACAGAGGGAAACCAGGCAGCUGUUAGAGGACUAUUUAUCAAGACUAUUGCGUUACUUCAUAGCUCAGCAUCCCAGGAGAGCGUUUACUCGCCCCAAGAGGUUUUUCCCAGGUCUGCUUGACAAACAGUUUGCAUUUGUCUGGUGGGGGCCUAUUAAAGAAUAAGCAUCAUCUCCUGGCUUAUCUCUGACAGCCCUGUAUGGGGUUUGUUGCUUGUGUUGCCCAAAUUCCAUUGUCUUCCUCAAGACUCAAGAAGUCAGGAGCAAACCCCCCAUUUUUACUUCUGUGCCAUGAGCUGUGUCAGUCCACUAUGAGCAAUUGCCUGUUACAACCAGGAAUAGCAAGAACGACAGAAGCAAAAGGGGUUUUAUACAACUAUAUGAGUUACAUAUGUAUAUAUGUAUAAUAGUCAUGGUUGUAAUGUUUUGCUCUGCCUUGAAUUUUACAGGCUGUUUGAACAAUCAGAAAAUUAAAAAAUAACAGACUAUAGUCCAUGAUAUUUGACUUUUUUUUUUUUUUUUUAAACUUUAAUCACAUCCAGAUACUGAGAAUGAGGAGAAGACGGGGCAGUACCUAACGGGAUGAAGAAGCUAUGCAAAUAAACAUGGACUAAUCCAUUGCCAUGCACUAUAAUGGAAGGACAUCCUGAUCACUGUGGAGCAGUAGCAACUUUACCUGGGGCCUGCAUGGAUGUAUGCCAGCCUGUCCUGCAGGAUACAGCCCAGUGAAUAGGAGAAAAAAUGUGUUUGAACUUGGCAUAAUUGCAAUGAACAUAAAGUGACUGCCCACCAAAAGAAAAUGAAGAUGCAUCACUUCAGCUUUUAUAAGGAAGGGAGAAACCAGAGCUGCUUCAUCAGUGCCAGCUCCACACUGUGGUUGGGCUCAGGAAAAGAAUUGCAUUGAUGGAUUAGUGCAACAACCCUCCCAGCUAUGGAAGGGUGCAUCUUACAAGAAAGUCCAUAGGUGACUAAUCAGCCAGACUGGUUAUCCCUCACCCACAGUGGAUUCGAAAGCACAGGCUGUGUGAGGCAGAACUCAGAGGUAGAGCUGGACAUCAGCUGUUUCCUGGUGACUUGCAGACCAAGAAUGACGUGCUGUCUGCUGAGUGACGUUUCUCAUCUGGGAUAUUCCUGCACAUCUGGACACCUUCCACAGACUGUCUCAAGAGAGAGGAAAGAGAGUUUCAAAGGAUUCAUUGGCUUUCUGAUGGCAAACAUCAAACAGAAUGGGUGGUGUUUCACAAACACACUACGUAAUGGGGAAAGGGAAGUAGGAUCUUCAGCGAUGGCCACCACGGCAGCAGUAUGUACAGUAAUUUAUAUGGUGGAUUCAUCUGGAGAUUAUGUUACAGAACAAGCAAUGCAAGAAAGCAAAGGAAACACAAACCCUUUUUUAACCAGUGCUCUAUAUUUUCAGUUAUAGCUGGCACAGUUUAUUACUUUUUAAGGCACUGAACAUAACUAUAUUAAACCCAUGAAGAUG
Pezoporus occidentalis (night parrot) is the source of this 1658-nucleotide long non-coding RNA. RefSeq lists it as uncharacterized. The transcript has 6 exons. NCBI's taxonomy places the organism in Eukaryota, Metazoa, Chordata, Aves, Psittaciformes, Psittacidae. The record is from RefSeq and is a predicted model, not a curated record.